Molecule: transfer RNA, 58 nt
Filed under: Bacillus sp. AG236
Lineage: Bacteria; Bacillati; Bacillota; Bacilli; Caryophanales; Bacillaceae
Description: tRNA-Cys
Source: RNAcentral
GGUGGCAUAGUCAAGGUCUGCAAUACCUUUAUCACCGGUUCAAAUCCGAUUGCCGUCU